RNAcentral lists this ribosomal RNA (535 nucleotides) under Trigonopterus submetallicus mendax. RNAcentral describes it as "partial large subunit ribosomal RNA". It matches the Rfam family "Bacterial large subunit ribosomal RNA", at positions 1819 to 2625 of the family's 2925-position model. Lineage: Eukaryota; Metazoa; Arthropoda; Insecta; Coleoptera; Curculionidae. The record is from RNAcentral.
GGCCUAUUGAUUAUAAUUUUAGGUCUGACCUGCCCAAUGAUUUUUAAAUGGCCGCGGUAUUUUAACCGUGCAAAGGUAGCAUAAUCAUUAGUUUUUUAAUUGAAAGCUGGAAUGAAAGGUUUGAUGAAAAAAUAUCUGUCUCUGUAAAAGUUUAUUAGAAUUUUAUUUUUAAGUUAAAAAGCUUAAAUGUGUAUGGAAGACGAGAAGACCCUAUAGAGUUUUAUAUUUUUGAGCUAAUAGAAAUUUAGGAUUUAUAAAUUAUUUUAGCAGAUAAAGUAUUUUGUUGGGGUGAUAGAAAAAUUUAAUAAACUUUUUUUAAUAUUUUUCAUAAAUUGAUGAAUAGCUGAUCCUUUUUUAAAGAUUAAAAGAUGAAAUUACCUUAGGGAUAACAGCGUAAUUUUUUUUAGAGUUCUUAUCGAAGAAAAAGAUUGCGACCUCGAUGUUGGAUUAAAAUUUAUUAUUGGUGAAGAGGCUAAAUAAUUAGGUCUGUUCGACCUUUAAAAUUUUACAUGAUCUGAGUUUAAACCGGUGUGAG